GAUGAACGCUGGCGGCGUGCCUAAUACAUGCAAGUCGAGCGAACAGACGAGGAGCUUGCUCCUCUGACGUUAGCGGCGGACGGGGGAGUAACACGUGGAUAACCUACCUAUAAGACUGGGAUAACUUCGGGAAACCGGAGCUAAUACCGGAUAAUAUAUUGAACCGCAUGGUUCAAUAGUGAAAGACGGUUUUGCUGUCACUUAUAGAUGGAUCCGCGCCGCAUUAGCUAGUUGGUAAGGUAACGGCUUACCAAGGCGACGAUGCGUAGCCGACCUGAGAGGGUGAUCGGUCACACUAGAACUGAGACACGGUCCAGACUCCUACGGGAGGCAGCAGUAGGGAAUCUUCCGCAAUGGGCGAAAGCCUGACGGAGCAACGCCGCGUGAGUGAUGAAGGUCUUCGGAUCGUAAAACUCUGUUAUUAGGGAAGAACAAAUGUGUAAGUAACUAUGCACGUCUUGACGGUACCUAAUCAGAAAGCCACGGCUAACUACGUG
This 497-nucleotide ribosomal RNA is filed under the name uncultured bacterium. RNAcentral's name for it is "partial 16S ribosomal RNA". It matches the Rfam family "Bacterial small subunit ribosomal RNA", at positions 28 to 507 of the family's 1533-position model. The record is from RNAcentral.